RNAcentral lists this ribosomal RNA (747 nucleotides) under uncultured bacterium. RNAcentral describes it as "bacterial SSU rRNA". It matches the Rfam family "Bacterial small subunit ribosomal RNA", at positions 66 to 823 of the family's 1533-position model. The record is from RNAcentral.
AUGAUUUCUUCGGAAUGACGAUUUAGUGACUGAGUGGCGGACGGGUGAGUAACGCGUGGGUAACCUGCCUUAUACAGGGGGAUAACAGUUAGAAAUGACUGCUAAUACCGCAUAAGCGCACAGGAUUGCAUGAUCUGGUGUGAAAAACUCCGGUGGUAUAAGAUGGACCCGCGUCUGAUUAGCUGGUUGGUGAGGUAACGGCCCACCAAGGCGACGAUCAGUAGCCGACCUGAGAGGGUGACCGGCCACAUUGGGACUGAGACACGGCCCAAACUCCUACGGGGGGCAGCAGUGGGGAAUAUUGCACAAUAGGGGAAACCCUGAUGCAGCGACGCCGCGUGAGCGAAGAAGUAUUUCGGUAUGUAAAGCUCUAUCAGCAGGGAAGAAAAAAAUGACGGUACCUGACUAAGAAGCCCCGGCUAACUACGUGCCAGCAGCCGCGGUAAUACGUAGGGGGCAAGCGUUAUCCGGAUUUACUGGGUGUAAAGGGAGCGCAGGCGGUGCGGCAAGUCUGAUGUGAAAGCCCGGGGCUCAACCCCGGGACUGCAUUGGAAACUGUCGUACUUGAGUAUCGGAGAGGUAAGUGGAAUUCCUAGUGUAGCGGUGAAAUGCGUAGAUAUUAGGAGGAACACCAGUGGCGAAGGCGGCUUACUGGACGAUAACUGACGCUGAGGCUCGAAAGCGUGGGGGAGCAAACAGGAUUAGAUACCCUGGUAGUCCACGCCGUAAACGAUGAAUACUAGGUGU